CAAUAGCGUAUAUUAAAGUUGUUGCAGUUAAAAAGCUCGUAGUUGGAUUUCUGGUGGGAGCGAUCGGUCUGGCGCUUAGCGCGAGUACUUGCAUCGUCUCCGGCCAUCCUUGGGGAAAGUCUGUCUGGCAUUAAGUUGUCGGGCAGAGGAUCCUCAUCGUUUACUGUGAAAAAAUUAGAGUGUUCAAAGCAGGCUUAUGCCGUUGAAUAUAUUAGCAUGGAAUAAUAAGAUAGGACUUUGGUACUAUUUUGUUGGUUUGCGCACCAAAGUAAUGAUUAAUAGGGACAGUUGGGGGUAUUCGUAUUCCGUUGUCAGAGGUGAAAUUCUUGGAUUUACGGAAGACGAACUACUGCGAAAGCAUUUACCAAGGAUGUUUUCAUUAA
RNAcentral lists this ribosomal RNA (383 nucleotides) under uncultured eukaryote. RNAcentral describes it as "partial 18S ribosomal RNA". It matches the Rfam family "Eukaryotic small subunit ribosomal RNA", at positions 592 to 976 of the family's 1831-position model. The record is from RNAcentral.